RNAcentral lists this long non-coding RNA (210 nucleotides) under Ananas comosus (pineapple). RNAcentral describes it as "long non-coding RNA (ACOM_LNC022930)". Lineage: Eukaryota; Viridiplantae; Streptophyta; Magnoliopsida; Poales; Bromeliaceae. The record is from RNAcentral.
AGAUCACUACUCCAGCUCCCAAAACAAGUGAAAGCAACUUAUUUCUUGUAUCGGUUAUUCCUAGCGCAAGUGGUCAAGAGAUUGAUGAUUGGUGCUCGAUGUCUCAAAUUUAAAAUCUUGUUGUUUCACAUUUCAGUGAAAUUCAUUUCUAAAAAAAAAAAGAAUGAAUCGGGUAGCAUAUUGUUAUUCUCUCUCGAAAUUUUUUUUUCU